This 682-nucleotide long non-coding RNA is filed under the name Equus asinus (donkey). Its description in RNAcentral is "lncRNA (ENSEASG00005031790.1)". The record is from RNAcentral. Lineage: Eukaryota; Metazoa; Chordata; Mammalia; Perissodactyla; Equidae.
GGUCAUUGGACAGUCUAAUAAUGUGAUUUAUGACAGAGGCUUUGGGACACACCAUGUGAGUUCCAACCUCCAGAAGGGGCCGGAGACCAAAGGUCAGCCAUGUGGGCCAUAUGUGAUCAAGCUCCAGUAAAAACUCUGGACACCAAAGGCUUGGAGGUUUAAGGGGCACUGACCCAACACUCUGGGACUCAACACCGUCACACUGGCUGGGAAUGGGAGAAGCAUGGCAUAGGAGUUAAAGAUUCUCAUAGCUGAUGGAUUACGUAUAAAGGACCUAAAGAUUCUACAAUAUCCUAACGGUGCUGAAGAAUCGCCUUGAUGGAAUAAGAACCAUUAGGUGGCAGCACAGGGCGUAUCUUGUCAAAUCUUUCUACAAUGGGCUGGCAGAUGUGAGGCACCAAACUGUCUAGCAAGGGAUAACUUAGAACCAUAUCAGGGCAAGCACUUGGGCUGAGACCAGCGAGAGGAUAAGAGCCGGCCAAGAGGCUCCCAGUCUCACUGUGCUGUUCAUAGUGGAAAGUGUGGAGCUGCCAGGAGAGAGGAGGGGUUGCAUCAUAUGGUGACAAAAGAAUGAAUCCCACCCAGAGGAAGCAGAGCCAAGAAAUGGAUCCCUGUUGUUUGAGUCCUGGAUCAAAUCGUGCCUGGAUCCCCAGUGAGCCAAUAAAUUUUCCUUAUUGCUUCA